ACCCAAUACUUUUGACCAAAGUUUCAAGCGUUUGAAGCGGCUGGUUGUUGGAAUGUAAAACGGAACGAUAUCGAUCAUGACAUCCCCGGUACCGGACCCGACGUCGAGACAGCGCUCCGAAAAUUUGGCCAAUUCAUCUUUGAAUUCUUCGACGAUUCUUCCAGUGCACUCCCGUUGAAGGCUAUUGGCCUUUCUGUACGCCGCUGCUUGAUGCAUGAUGUCCGAAUUCACUCCACUCGGGAAAAAAUACCGGGGCAGGUAUGGAAAAAAAACUUAUUUCGUAAUUCGAAUUUUAGAAAAAUUCAAGAUAUCGCUAAUCGCGAAUUUGGUUCGAAAUAUUGUAAACUCUGCUAUUACGUGAAGCGAAGUCACACGAUAUUCUACGUCUAACAACACAACGCGUGAUCUCUCUUAUAAUGGUACUGAUCUUAGAUAUCAGAUUUUGGAAUAGACUUGACCGUUAAUAUUUGUAAAAUCAAACGCAUGCGCACCUACAAAAUCCUGCAAAUAGUGCGAAGUUGAUUACUACCGUAAUAUCUCUUAUAAUCGGUGAAGGAUUUUAGACACGUUGGAUUACAUCACCAUCGGGUCCGGAAUUAACGUCAUAACCAGAUUACCGUGAACCAGUAAAAUACUCCUAUAGGUGUAAUGACGAUGUCAGCGAUAUCGUUUUUCCCACUUCAUGGCCAGGCUUUAGCCGAAAUUUUGAAUUCAAUCCAUCUUUUGCUGUUAGUCACCUUCGUCCUCGCCUCCGUCACAGAACUCACAGAAACUUCCAAUGCAAUCCACCACAAAUCUACAACUCCGAUAUUUUCUCCAUUCACCCGCUAAACAUAUGUCGCCAAUAAUUUCUGAUUUCUUUCAAAAUGAAACGUGACCCAUGCAUAUCUUAUCAUUCAGGAUCGAUUUUAGUCGUAGCAUUAUAUUAUUCGUUCAACGGAUGCGUGUUCAUGGGGUCAAAAUACAUUAGAAUAGUUCCAUACAAUCGAUU
Molecule: unclassified non-coding RNA, 991 nt
Filed under: Athalia rosae (coleseed sawfly)
Lineage: Eukaryota; Metazoa; Arthropoda; Insecta; Hymenoptera; Athaliidae
Description: misc RNA ENSAEAG00005003432.1
Source: RNAcentral